Mycena rebaudengoi is the source of this 92-nucleotide non-coding RNA. Lineage: Eukaryota; Fungi; Basidiomycota; Agaricomycetes; Agaricales; Mycenaceae. The record is from the annotation of a GenBank genome assembly.
GGCCCAGUGGCGGAUGGUCCGCGUCUGCAAUUCUUGAUCGGGGAAAAUUAUUGAAUAGACAGAUGGUGCUCGUUCGAAUCGAGCCUGGGCCA